Saccharomyces cerevisiae S288C is the source of this 211-nucleotide ribosomal RNA. The record is from Ensembl. NCBI's taxonomy places the organism in Eukaryota, Fungi, Ascomycota, Saccharomycetes, Saccharomycetales, Saccharomycetaceae.
UUUUUAUUUCUUUCUAAGUGGGUACUGGCAGGAGCCGGGGCCUAGUUUAGAGAGAAGUAGACUGAACAAGUCUCUAUAAAUUUUAUUUGUCUUAAGAAUUCUAUGAUCCGGGUAAAAACAUGUAUUGUAUAUAUCUAUUAUAAUAUACGAUGAGGAUGAUAGUGUGUAAGAGUGUACCAUUUACUAAUGUAUGUAAGUUACUAUUUACUAU